RNAcentral lists this ribosomal RNA (862 nucleotides) under uncultured bacterium. Its description in RNAcentral is "bacterial SSU rRNA". It matches the Rfam family "Bacterial small subunit ribosomal RNA", at positions 26 to 898 of the family's 1533-position model. The record is from RNAcentral.
AGAAUGAACGUUGGCGGCGUGGAUUAGGCAUGCAAGUCGAACGAAUCCCGGGGGCAACUCCGGGGGAAGUGGCGAAAGGGGCAGUAAGGCGUGGCUAACCUACCCCGGGGAUGGGGAUAGCCUUCCUAACGGAAGGGUAAUACCCGGCGAUGUGGCGAGGGGACAUCCUCUUGCCAUGAAACGAAUUUCGCCUCGGGAGGGGGUCACGUGCUAUUAGCUUGUUGGUGAGGUAACGGCUCACCAAGGCAAAGAUGGCUAGCGGGUGUGAGAGCACGACCCGCGCCACUGGCACUGAGACACUGGCCAGACUCCUACGGGAGGCUGCAGUCGAGGAUCUUCGGCAAUGGGCGCAAGCCUGACCGAGCGACGCCGCGUGUGCGAUGAAGGCCUUCGGGUUGUAAAGCACUGUCGAGGGGGAGGAAAGCCGUAAGGUUUGACCUAUCCCUGGAGGAAGCACGGGCUAAGUUCGUGCCAGCAGCCGCGGUAAGACGAACCGUGCGAACGUUGUUCGGAUUCACUGGGCUUAAAGGGCGCGUAGGCGGCUUGCCAAGUCAGGGGUGAAAUCCUUCGGCUCAACCGGAGAAGUGCUUCUGAUACUGGCAGGCUGGAGGGAGGUAGGGGCAGAUGGAACUUCCGGUGGAGCGGUGAAAUGCGUAGAUAUCGGAAGGAACGCCGGUGGCGAAAGCGAUCUGCUGGACCUCUUCUGACGCUGAGGCGCGAAAGCCAGGGGAGCAAACGGGAUUAGAUACCCCGGUAGUCCUGGCCCUAAACGAUGGGUACUAGGUAGUGGACUUGACAUGGGUUCACUGCCGAAGCAAAAGUGUUAAGUACCCCGCCUGGGGAGUAUGGUCGCAAGGCUGAA